GUCCAGACUCCUACGGGAGGCAGCAGUGGGGAAUAUUGCACAAUGGGGGAAACCCUGAUGCAGCGACGCCGCGUGAGUGAAGAAGUAUUUCGGUAUGUAAAGCUCUAUCAGCAGGGAAGAAAAUGACGGUACCUGACUAAGAAGCCCCGGCUAACUACGUGCCAGCAGCCGCGGUAAUACGUAGGGGGCAAGCGUUAUCCGGAUUUACUGGGUGUAAAGGGAGCGUAGACGGCAUGGCAAGUCAGAUGUGAAAGCCGGGGGCCCACCCCCGGGACUGCUCUGAAACUGCGGCGCUGGAGUACGGGAGGGGCAGGCGGAAUUCCUGGUGUAGCGGUGAAAUGCGUAGAUAUCAGGAGGAACACCGGCGGCGAAGGCGGCCUGCUGGACCGUGACUGACGUUGAGGCUCGAGAGCGUGGGGAGCAAACAGGAUUAGAUACCCGAGUA
This 445-nucleotide ribosomal RNA is filed under the name uncultured bacterium. RNAcentral's name for it is "bacterial SSU rRNA". It matches the Rfam family "Bacterial small subunit ribosomal RNA", at positions 329 to 792 of the family's 1533-position model. The record is from RNAcentral.